GACGUAGGGUGCAAGCGUUGUCCGGAAUUAUUGGGCGUAAAGAGCUCGUAGGCGGUCUGUCGCGUCGGCUGUGAAAUCCCGGAGCUCAACUCCGGGCCUGCAGUCGAUACGGGCAGACUGGAGUUCGGCAGGGGAGACUGGAAUUCCUGGUGUAGCGGUGAAAUGCGCAGAUAUCAGGAGGAACACCGGUGGCGAAGGCGGGUCUCUGGGCCGAUACUGACGCUGAGGAGCGAAAGCGUGGGGAGCGAACAGG
This 253-nucleotide ribosomal RNA is filed under the name uncultured bacterium. RNAcentral's name for it is "partial 16S ribosomal RNA". It matches the Rfam family "Bacterial small subunit ribosomal RNA", at positions 524 to 776 of the family's 1533-position model. The record is from RNAcentral.